Molecule: non-coding RNA, 25 nt
Filed under: Rattus norvegicus (Norway rat)
Lineage: Eukaryota; Metazoa; Chordata; Mammalia; Rodentia; Muridae
Source: RNAcentral
UGGAAAUGGAAAAAAAAUGGAUCUA